RNAcentral lists this ribosomal RNA (655 nucleotides) under uncultured bacterium. Its description in RNAcentral is "bacterial SSU rRNA". It matches the Rfam family "Bacterial small subunit ribosomal RNA", at positions 1 to 605 of the family's 1533-position model. The record is from RNAcentral.
CUUUCGGUCUCGCGAAUGCAUCNAGAAUUAUUAGUUUGAUCAUGGCUCAGAGUGAACGCUGGCGUGUAAGCCUAACACAUGCAAGUCGAACGGCAGCACAGGAGAGCUUGCUCUCUGGGUGGCGAGUGGCGGACGGGUGAGAAAUACAUCGGAAUCUACUUUUUCGUGGGGGAUAACGUAGGGAAACUUACGCUAAUACCGCAUACGACCUACGGGUGAAAGCAGUGGGAUCUUCGUGACCUUGCGCGAUUGAAUGAGCCGAUGUCGGAUUAGCUAGUUGGCGGGGUAAAGGCCCACCAAGGCGACGAUCCGUAGCUGGUCUGAGAGGAUGAUCAGCCACACUGGAACUGAGACACGGUCCAGACUCCUACGGGAGGCAGCAGUGGGGAAUAUUGGACAAUGGGCGCAAGCCUGAUCCAGCCAUACCGCGUGGGUGAAGAAGGCCUUCGGGUUGUAAAGCCCUUUUGUUGGGAACAGAAAUCCAGCUGGCUAAUACCCGGUUGGGAUGACGUGUACCCAAAGAAUAAGCACCGGCCUAACUUCGUGCCAGCAUGCCUGUCGGUAAUACGAAGGGUGCAAGCGUUACUCGGAAUUACUGGGGCGUAAACGCGUGCCGUANGUGGUCCGNUUUAAGACUCUCGCUGUUAAAANCCCU